This 23-nucleotide non-coding RNA is filed under the name Xenopus tropicalis (tropical clawed frog). The record is from RNAcentral. RNAcentral also lists the same sequence under 3 other names. Lineage: Eukaryota; Metazoa; Chordata; Amphibia; Anura; Pipidae.
CAGUCGGUAGAGCAUCAGACUUU